CCUACGGGAGGCAGCAGUGGGGAAUAUUGCACAAUGGGGGAAACCCUGAUGCAGCGACGCCGCGUGAGUGAAGAAGCGUUUCGGCGCGUAAAGCUCUGUCAGCGGGGAAGAAACACGGUUCGCGAGAGCCGCGGACGGUACCCGACCAAGAAGCCCCGGCUAACUACGUGCCAGCAGCCGCGGUAAUACGUAGGGGGCAAGCGUUAUCCGGAUUCACUGGGUGUAAAGGGAGCGUAGACGGCGAGACAAGUCUGGAGUGAAAGGCCGGGGCCCAACCCCGGGACUGCUCUGGAUACUGGCUGGCUGGAGUACAGGAGAGGUAGGUGGAAUUCCUAGUGUAGCGGUGAAAUGCGUAGAUAUUAGGAGGAAAACCAGUGGCGAAGGCGGCUUACUGGACUGUAACUGACGCUCAUGCACGAAAGUGUGGGUAUCGAACAGGAGUAGGUACCCUUGUAGUC
This 458-nucleotide ribosomal RNA is filed under the name uncultured bacterium. Its description in RNAcentral is "partial 16S ribosomal RNA". It matches the Rfam family "Bacterial small subunit ribosomal RNA", at positions 338 to 795 of the family's 1533-position model. The record is from RNAcentral.